CUCCUUUUAACUUAUGUUCUUUACUUUUCAUGUUCUUCUUUGCUUAUGUUGUUUUUCCAUUUCCCAUACUCCAAUCCAUCUUUUCUUCUUCCUUCUAGAGUCUUUUGAAGUAAAUCUUCACAUCAAGAUAACUUACAUAUCUUAAUAUUUGUUGGAAUCAUCAUUAAACUUUUUUAACCAAAAUUAAUACAAACACCUUGUCCACU
This 206-nucleotide long non-coding RNA is filed under the name Vigna radiata. RNAcentral describes it as "long non-coding RNA (VRAD_LNC006303)". The record is from RNAcentral. Lineage: Eukaryota; Viridiplantae; Streptophyta; Magnoliopsida; Fabales; Fabaceae.